GGUGGCUCAGUGGUAGAGUGCUUGCUUUGCAUGCAUGAGGCACUAGGUUCGAUUCCUCAGCACCA
Molecule: transfer RNA, 65 nt
Filed under: Dipodomys ordii (Ord's kangaroo rat)
Lineage: Eukaryota; Metazoa; Chordata; Mammalia; Rodentia; Heteromyidae
Rfam family: tRNA
About the family: Transfer RNA (tRNA) molecules are approximately 80 nucleotides in length. Their secondary structure includes four short double-helical elements and three loops (D, anti-codon, and T loops).
Source: Rfam by way of RNAcentral